AUACUUACCUGGCAGGGGAAAUACCACGAUCACGAAGGUGGUUUUCCUAGGGUGAGGCUCCACCAUUGCACUUCGGUGGGGUUGACCCCUAUGAUUUCCCCAAAUGUGGGAAAGUCAACUGCAUAAUUUAUGGUAGUGGGGAAUUGCGUUCGCGCUCUUCCCUG
Small nuclear RNA from Protopterus annectens (West African lungfish), 164 nucleotides. RefSeq annotates it as U1 spliceosomal RNA. NCBI's taxonomy places the organism in Eukaryota, Metazoa, Chordata, Ceratodontiformes, Protopteridae. The transcript has a single exon. The record is from RefSeq and is a predicted model, not a curated record.